Molecule: ribosomal RNA, 253 nt
Filed under: uncultured bacterium
Lineage: Bacteria
Description: partial 16S ribosomal RNA
Rfam family: Bacterial small subunit ribosomal RNA
Source: RNAcentral
UACGGAGGGUGCAAGCGUUAAUCGGAAUUACUGGGCGUAAAGCGCACGUAGGCGGCUACUCAAGUCAGAGGUGAAAGCCCGGGGCUCAACCCCGGAACUGCCUUUGAAACUAGGUAGCUAGAAUCUUGGAGAGGUCAGUGGAAUUCCGAGUGUAGAGGUGAAAUUCGUAGAUAUUCGGAAGAACACCAGUGGCGAAGGCGACUGACUGGACAAGUAUUGACGCUGAGGUGCGAAAGCGUGGGGAGCAAACAGG